UUUCCUUGAAAGGUUGCCUCAGUUAAUGAGCUUUUACAGGUCCCUUGGGCCUUCUGUGAUCAGAGUAGAUGACAUGAUCCUGGAAUAGUCAUCAUUCCCUACCAGUGAUUUUGGAAGGAAAACGUCCCUCUACAUAGAACUGCUGGCAUGGAUGGCCCUUUGAUUUUGGCAUGAGCGAUCGUGCAGCAUGUUUGAGGAGAACCUGUUCUCUCAUAUUUCCUUAACUAAAGAUGGCCUCUUUAGCAAGUUAGAGCUUUUUCAGUCUUAAGCAAUGCCUUUUUGCCCGCUUAGUUGAUGACUGAAAGGAAGAGAGAAUUUGAUCACUGAAUUUUCUGACCUGUCAUUGUGGAUCCGACCAAGUAGUGUUGCAACAAGGCUGAAAAUUGGAUUAGCUGCAUUUAGAAGAGAAACUUAAACCACUCCAGGUAAAAUAACCUUGUAAAGAAAAAGUAAGACUAUUUCAGAGGCCUUGGCUAGGUUCAUGAUGAUACAGGACCUUGUCUGAACAAAGUGAUUUCAAAAUUUGAGCUUAAAAUGACAUUCUGAAAUCCAGUCAAUGUGCCUCAUUACUUUUCAGAGAACAUUAUUCUUGAGAGAAUGUUGGCUUGACAUGUGAAAACUUUGAAUACUUAGAAAUGGCAGGUGUAGUAGUACACUUUGCCAGUUACUCAGAUACCCCUUUUUUAUUUUCAUAGAUAUUCUGGGAUAAUUCCUUUUUUUUUUUUUUUACUAUAUAUAUGUGCAUGCUGAUGAAAGCAAAAAAGAAAGCACAUCCUUGGAUCUGAGAAGGCACGCGUGUGGUGAGAUGGAAGCAAGGACACGCAAAAAGGAAAUUUAGCACCUCUUGGAUCAGACCUUGAAUGCCACAGUGCUAGGUGUUUAACUGAUGUCCAGGAAGGAGAGAAACUAAUAUUAUGAUGAAAUACAAUGAAUCUGUUGGAUAUGAUGGAAGAAAAACAUUUGCAGAUAAUCUGAGUACAGCUGUGACAUCAUCAGGAACAUUCCUCUUUUAUGGAGUUCCUUGAUUCAUAAGUCUUACCCAUGAAUCAAAGGAGAUGAUAAUUCCGAGAAAAGAUACUUUACCAAGUUCAUUUUUAAUCCCAAGAAUCGGUGCCACUGGAUCUCUAUUGCAAUAUUCCUCAUUCAGGUGUUCGUCACUGCCAUCUCUGGUCCUAGGAGUACCCCUUGGCGAUAUGAUUGUGAUGACUGAAUAGGAAACUGAUGCCAUUUCUUCUGACACCAUCUUCAUCAAACCAAAAGAUGGUCUUCAUAAUGUAUGGAGACUCUUUCGUGUGUUGCAGUGGACACUCCUUGCAGAUCAGAAAAACCGGACUGAGAAAGCUCAUGUUUUAAAGUAAUCUAAAGAGUGUAAUUGGAGAGAAUUGUAACCAGGCCUGUUGACAGUUUUCAUUGUUGCCAUUGGACUAAAUCUCAGGAGCUUGAAUGCCAGAGACGUUAUUACACAGAAUCUCAGGAUGGUGUAAUUGCAAGGCUUCAUUUCAGUGUUCCCAUAAGUAUUAAGUGCAUGUAUUUAUAAUUUUCACUUAUCACAGGAUCAACUUAAAAUUAUUUCAUAAAAAAUCAUCUUGUUCAAGAUUUUAAAGGUAUAGAAAUUUGUGAAGUAUGGUAUUUUUAACUCAUGCCCUUUUCCCCUCAUAAUUCUAUUCUCCAGCGUUAUCUACUGUCAGUGUAGUUUUGUGCACAUCUUUUUGGGGUGUGUUGAUAAACAGAUUGAUAAUGCAACUCUCUUUUUGGCCCAUAUUAUGUCUAUAAAUUUUCUAUGCCGUAAAAAGGCAUACAGAUAAAUUAUUUUGAUAAUUUCAGAGAAUUGGAACUGCUAGGACUAGGGAUGUCCAAAAAUUUAUGUUUUGAGUCAAAACUACAGCUUUCCCCCUAAUCAUAGAGAGAGAGUCCUCAUCACUAUUGUCUCCCAGUGUUUGUUCAUGAGAGUUCUGUUUCGUAAAAUGGUACACAUGUUAGAUGUCAGUGUUUUAAUCGUUAACAAUGCGAUAUUACGAAGAAAUUGCUUUUUUUCUUCUCUUGUUUGUCUCCAUCAUCUUCGUAUAUCCUUAAUCCUUACUAGUCAUUUGUGUUAUUUCAUUUUCCUCUGCUUUUUGUUUUUUUCCAUUUCCCUUGGAGUAUGAGUGUCUUUGUUGCUCAUUUCUAAAAGCUCAUUUAUAACUAAAGAUGUUAACCAUAUGUCAUGCAUUGCAAGUGAAAUACCAUGUUUUCUUUUCGGCAUCAUUUUACUGUGGUGUUUUAUUUUUUGGUUGUACAAAAGUUGUGUAUUGAAAUACAAUAAUGUUCUGUUUUAUGCCUUUUGAGUUUUGUGUUUUUCUUUUAAGAACAUGUUUGCAUUAGUAUCAUACAUUUCUUUCUCUGUAUUUUCUAAUACUUUUCAUUUUGUCCUUUUAUUUUUCCAUUAAUCAUUACCAUGGUAUUUAAAGUAUUACAUACUCAAAUUGUUUCCCUUGACUUAAGGAAUUACUGCUUAAUUUAAAUUCUGUAAUGAUAUGGAAAUUCCCACAUGAUUGGCUACAUUUCUAUUUAUUUGCUUUAUCUUAUAUUGAUACUUUAAAAUUACCAAUGGUUUCUAGUCUUAGCUAUUCCAUUGAAUUCUCUCAUUUCUCGUAAUUUUUCAGAAUAUUCCCUGUCUACACUCAAAUUUUUUCCCUCAGUUGACGCUUAAAAUUAUUUUCCAAGUUGGAAAAAAAUGCAAUUUUAAGUUCAUUUGCACCAAAUUUAAUAGAGUAAUUAGGAGAGAAUUAGAUCUCUUUAACUCAGCCUUCCUAUCCAACUGCAAGGUAUGUGUUUCUAUUUUUAAUUAAAUUAUGUGGGAAUAUUGCUAGUGUAGUUUUAUUUUCUUAUUUUUUGAUUAAUCCCAACUCAUCUCAUACUUUUGUCAGUGUAGCGAUGGGGAUCAUACACUCAGUUUUUCUUAUUAAUAUGUGAAAGCCAUUUCAUGUACUUUUCUAGUGACGUUUAAUUGAAAUACCAAAAUUAUGGUUUUCUUUUUUCACAAUUCAUAGGUGGUUUCAGAAUGUAUGAAAGCAGAAAGUGCCCUUGGUUAUUUCAUUCUUAAUACUAAUCCUGUUAAAGGUUUACUUAUGAGUCAUUUUAGGAGACAGCUUCCUUCCUUUCAUUGAGGAUUUUCCACUAAAUUUGAUGACAAGUUUAAUAAAAUGUCUUGUGUUUUACAGUUGAUCAUACUUGCCAUUAUAAUUAUUGACUAGGGUAAAAAUUAACUUUUUCUAAAAGUGAACAUUCUUGCAUCCAGUGAAUGAAUGAACUUAAUUGUGUAUGUGUGUAAUUAUAUAUAUAAAUAUAUAUGUAUGUAAAUACACACUUCCCUAUUAUAAUCAUUAUAAUUUUGUUUGCGAUUUCUGAAAAAAAUCUUAAACAACUUUAUUUUGUUUUGGUCAGGGUUUUGUGUUUGGUUAACUGGCUCUACUGAAAGUGUUUUGUGUAUUUUUGAUGUAGACUGGAAAGAAGUAUUGCCAUUAUUGCUUUAAUUUUUAUUUUGAAAUAAUUUUUGACACACAAAACUAUUGCAAAAGUAGUACGUAGUUUGUAAAAAUAUUCUUUAGAUUCCUCUUAUGUUAGCAAGUUUCAUAUGCAUGAUACAAUUAUCUAAACCAGGACAUUACCAUUGACGUACUGUUGUUAACUGAUCCUUUUUAUAGGUCCAGGAGUUAACGUGAAUGUUUGACCAUGCUUUCAAGUUUGAAAUGUUUGACCAUGCUUUCAGUUUCCAUGAGUCACAGUCAUGGGAUUUCUUAAAAUACAUCCCAAAUAGAAUCUGAUAAGGCACUUCUAUUUUCCCAUCUCCCAUGCAAGAAAUAACAACUUAAGACUUAGUUUUCUCUUAUAAUUUAUUCCGAAUGUAUUUUGUUAUAUCUCAGUAUUUGGGGCACCAGUAUUUUUGAAACACAAUCAUCAAACUACCUGUUGAAAAGUAUAAAAUGCAAUAAUAAUUCCUUAUAUUGUUAAUCACAAUGAAUAAUCAGUACCACCUAUGAAAUGCUUUUUGGUAAAAAAGUCUUAUUCCAAUUUGUCUUAUGUGUUUAAUUAAAAGUUAUGUUUAAAUCAG
Long non-coding RNA from Equus caballus (horse), 4090 nucleotides. Lineage: Eukaryota; Metazoa; Chordata; Mammalia; Perissodactyla; Equidae. The record is from Ensembl.